UUGAACGCUGGCGGCAGGCCUAACACAUGCAAGUCGAGCGGAUGAAGGGAGCUUGCUCCUGGAUUCAGCGGCGGACGGGUGAGUAAUGCCUAGGAAUCUGCCUGGUAGUGGGGGAUAACGUCCGGAAACGGGCGCUAAUACCGCAUACGUCCUGAGGGAGAAAGUGGGGGAUCUUCGGACCUCACGCUAUCCGAUGAGCCUAGGUCGGAUUAGCUAGUUGGUGGGGUAAAGGCCUACCAAGGCGACGAUCCGUAACUGGUCUGAGAGGAUGAUCAGUCACACUGGAACUGAGACACGGUCCAGACUCCUACGGGAGGCAGCAGUGGGGAAUAUUGGACAAUGGGCGAAAGCCUGAUCCAGCCAUGCCGCGUGUGUGAAGAAGGUCUUCGGAUUGUAAAGCACUUUAAGUUGGGAGGAAGGGCAGUAAGUUAAUACCCUGCUGUUUUGACGUUACCAACAGAAUAAGCACCGGCUAACUUCGUG
Molecule: ribosomal RNA, 483 nt
Filed under: uncultured bacterium
Lineage: Bacteria
Description: partial 16S ribosomal RNA
Rfam family: Bacterial small subunit ribosomal RNA
Source: RNAcentral